Molecule: long non-coding RNA, 270 nt
Filed under: Mytilus galloprovincialis (Mediterranean mussel)
Lineage: Eukaryota; Metazoa; Mollusca; Bivalvia; Mytilida; Mytilidae
Source: RNAcentral
CGGCGUGUAUCUUGUUUACAACAAGAAAUCUGUGAGUUUAUGCUAACUUAACAUACAACAAGCGAGAAUUUUCCAUGUCAAUUUUUUACUGACAAGUCCCACAUCAAAUAUAUCAGUUCAUAGCUUUUGACCCAUACUAUAAUUUUAUGAUAGACAAUUUAUGGGGAGAAUACAACAUCAAAAAUGUCCAACUCUUACACUUAACAGCAACUAUUAAAUAUACAUGCCCCACGUCAAGAACCGUUUAAAAAGUGCAUUUUACACUUAUUU